AUGGUGGCCAGCAGGAGGCUGAUGAAGGAGCUUGAAGAGAUCCGCAAAUGUGGAAUGAAAAACUUCCGUAACAUCCAGGUUGAUGAAGCUAAUUUAUUGACUUGGCAAGGGCUUAUUGUUCCUGACAACCCUCCAUAUGAUAAGGGAGCCUUCAGAAUUGAGAUCAACUUCCCAGCAGAGUAUCCCUUCAAGUCACCCAAGAUCACAUUUAAAACAAAGAUCUACCACCCUAACAUUGAUGAGAAGGGGCAGGUCUGUCUGCUCGUAAUUAAUGCGGAAAACUGGAAGCCAGCCACCAAGACUGACCAAGCAAUCCAGUCCCUCAGCCUGAGCACCCACUCCGGGCUGACCUAGCUGAAGAAUACUCUAAGGACCGUAAAAAAUUCUGUAAGAAUGCUGAAGAAAUUACAAAGAAAUACGAGGAAAAGCGACCUGUGGACUAAAAUCUGCCACGAGUGAUUCCAGCAAGUUUGAGCAGAGACCCUGAGCAGUGCAUUCAAACACCCCACAAAGCAGGACUCUGUGGAAAUUGACACGUUCCACCAACUGGCGUCUGCUUGUGGCAGUUACUAACUUUCUACAGUUUUCUUUUUCUUAAUCAAAAGUGGUCUAGGUAACCUGUAAAGAAGGAUUAAAAAAUUCAGGUGUUCUAAAAAAAAAAAAAAAAAAAGAAUUGACUAACACACCAAGUAGAGUGUACAUGCUUUUAAAAGAAAAAAAAAUCAUUUCUUAGCUAUUAGAUCUUGCUUUGAGUCUUCUCUUAUAUUCCUAGAAGAAAAAAAGAAGGAAAAUAAAAUGGAUUCCGGUUUUAGCUCUAAUCUUUUGUGGGGUAGUUUUAAAUGAGUCUCCUGGCCGUUUGGAAGCUAGACCCUGUGAAGGGAGCAGCGAUUGAGAAACGCACAGAAGGAGCUGAGGUAUGAAGGCACCUGGAGUCAGCCCCUGGCCGUGUGCCCAGGCUGCUCCCUGGCCACAGAGAAGCAGUGGGGAUGGACGGAAGCUCUUGAGCCCAGAGAUGCACAGGCUCACAUUCCUGUGCAUGCUUCUUGUGAGUUGGGAAACCUCCAUGAUCCAAAGUUGUUCUUGCAAAACAGUGUCCCUCACAACUUGAUUGAUCCAUGACAAUAUUUUUUUCCUAUCUCUUUCUCCUUUUGGGUGAGACUUUUCAAUGAAUGGCAGGCAUUAUGCAAGCAAACCUCCCACUCUCUUGCCAGGGACAGCCCCUGGUUCUCUCUCUCUCUCUCUCUCUCUCUCUCUCUCUCUCUCUCUCUCUUCCUCCUCCUUCCUCUCCUCCUCCUCUCUCUCUAUUUCUGUCUGCUCUCCAACUCCCCCUGUGACUCAAAGGAGAUUGGAUAGCUGGAGUGAGGUUUCAACCUGCCUGUGGCUACUCCACCUUUUGGUAGGCGCCUAGAUCUUGCCAGGAAAAAAAAAAAAAAGGAAAGAGGGCAGCAGGCGGCUGGGUGAAGUCAUCCCUGGUGACACCUUCUCACAGGACUUCAGGGAAAAUGCUGGGCGACUGGGCAGUGCCUCUGCCCAGCUGCCUGUCACGGUGCUGGGAGUGAGAGGUGACCUCUUUAUUUUUAGCAGGGGGCUGUCAGGAGAGUUCACUCCUCUGCUUCAUCCAAGACAGGAGGCAGUCACUUUGGAAGUUUGUAAACACCGACUUUCUCAGUAGAGGUGGGACACUUUUCUCCAGAAAGGGAAGAAUUUCCCUGCCGGGGUUUCCCUCUUCUUAGAGUCGCACUGUGGACAAGACAGCGAUCUUUGGCUGUCUGAGUUGUGGCAAGCAGGCGCCGCUCAAGUUCUAAUUAUUACAGGGCAGUCAUGCCUGCCGGCGACGGCUGUGGACCAGGCAGAAGGUAAUUAUGACAUUUUAUUUCUUUGGAGUCCGUUUCACAUGUUGUUUGUCCUAAAAAAAAUUCUGACAAGUUUAAAGAUGUUUAGGUGAGAAGUAUAAUCCUCGGAAAUGUUCUUUGGCAAAAGUAAUAAUCUAAGCUUAGAAGUAGAUGCAAAAGGAGUGUUUGUGUUUCCUCGAAUAAGGAAAUAAUGUCCCGGAACUUUCAAACCUAAUUUCCCCGGGUACAGCUGGAAUCUCCUUGAAAUUUUUGACUUUAGAUGUUGACAUCUAAGCUCAUGAAUUCUUUUAAGUUUCCGUUUUAAAGAUUUGACAGAGAGUUGUGAGAGUUGAAUAUUAAGCUACUUUAUCAAUUUCGAUAUUUAAAUGCCUCUUAAGCUAUACAUUUUGAAGGCAUGAUGACCUCUGUGCCAUGUGGUACACGGUGGCAGGUGUGUUUAUCACUCUCUUACUGCUAAGAAGCAGGCACCAGGAGGCCGACGAUGCAGGGACUUAGUACGUACUGGUUCUCGAGUUGCUGCAGCCCAGACAGACAUUAUAGGAGUCACCUAUACAUCCUCAUUAGAUUUCCAGUUGAGGUUACCAAAAUUUGGAAGAAGUAGAAGGAAAGUUAUGAAACAAAGACAGGGGUCAUGGUUCAUCUUAUUGCCAAAGAAACAGAACUCUCUAGGAACAAGAGCCCCUUAUACUAUUUCUGUAAACCAUGGCCCUGUGGCCCUGUUGCCCUGUGGCCCUGUGGCCCUGUGGUCCCUGUGGUCCCUGUGGCCCAGCGUGGUUUAUGUAAGGUGGCAGUAGCUGAUUGUGAUAGUUUUCUUAAAGAUUGCAUUUCUCUGUAGUUCUCCAGUAUUUACUUUCCACAAAUUCUAUUAAAUGGAAAGAAACAGAUUAGUGUUAUGUCCAGUGACUUCUUAUGUAAAAUAAGACUAAACCAAACAGCUGGCAGUGUCCUUUGUAACAGUGCUUGGCACAGUUGAUGGAUUAAUUAACUACCUUAGAGAACAUUUUUAGAGACAUUUAAGUCUUUGCACUGGCUUAUAAGUUGGUCCAUGGUUGGUCCAUGGUUCUCAUACAUUUCCUUUCCCAGACAUCUGAACAUUCCCGAAGCAAGGCUUUCCCUUUUCUCUAACAUCCGCUCCCUGAGUAGAGUUUUGGACAACCAGACAUUUUAAACAAGUGGGGUGCACUGAUAAGCCAUUUCACACCAGGGGUCCAGGCACCCUGAUCAUUCUGCAAUUCCGGUAGAGAGACUUGGCAGAGAGGGAUUGAGGGCUGUGGUCACGUGCAGCAGCAGUAUCAAAAUUAAAUUAAAUAGUAACUACCUGUUGAUAAGGAAUAUCUCAAACUGCGUGUGAUGUGAACUGAGCAAACUUUAAGCUUUUUCUCUGAAAGUUUCACUAAUAAAAAAAAUUAAAUAGAUCAAAGGAAGCCCGUGUUCACACACUCAUAAAUAUGCACAUGGCAACUACGGUUAUCUCCCUGGAGAUAUCUCGUGUGCAGCUGAGAACCUCUCCCACUCCUGUGAGGUAACCUGCACCUGUCUCAUGGUUUUUAUCCUGAUGAGGUAACUUUCAGUCCCCAGCACUUGGUGUUUUCAUUCUUUGCUUCUGUCCCCUGAACUUGUUUGUUUUUCCUCUAUGUAGAAAUGGUGGGAGAUUGGCACUAGGCUAGAAAUAAAAUAUUUAUAAUUGGGGGAACAUUUUCUUCUUGCUAAACUUGAGAUUACGUGCCUCCAGAUAAGUCCCUUGGUGCCGUGUCUAAACAAGAAAUAACUGUUAUGAGUCGCGAAUUUGCUGACGAGUGAGUUCUCUGAACUUCAUCGCAGCAGUUCCUCAUUGAACCUCACAUCAAAGCUGAUUAUGUUACUUGCCUCUCAUUUUGGAGUUUGAUGUCCCAAAUUGCUCUGUAACUGCCAGGGAGCUAAAUAAGAGGGUUUUUGUUAUUGUUUGUGUGUGUGUGUGUGUGUGUGUGUGUGUGUGUGUUUUGUGUGGGUGUGUGGUUUUUUUUUUUUUUUUUGGAUUAACAAAACUCAUGAAACGGCAAUGCUCACAUGAUAGGGAUGCCCAUCUCACACUGGGAUGUGUGCCUUAGUCCUCACAGGUACCUUCUGCUAGGUGACAUACAGUCCAGUGGCUUCAGGUAUCAUUCAUCUGAAGGAAGAAGACACUCUAUUUAGCAAAUAGGAAGCACUGUGAGUAAGAGUACUCCAAGGAUUACUGCCAGCUUCAAGGUCAAGAGCAGAGUAAGGGGGCAGAGCAAAAAAGAAGGAAAUAAAUAAACAACCAAAGAAACGUUUGAAGCAGGCCUGGGAGGGUAGGUAGCUAUCUAAGCAAGAAGCACUGGAUGCCAAAGAAGGGAAAAACCAGGAGAGUAGACUAGCUCAGGGUAUAAUGGGAAAGUUUCUCCUGUAGCCUGAGCCUGGUGGUUCCUUAUCUGGCCUCCUUUGGUUCCUGCCUUGGAGUAGCAGCCAAGCUGGCCCUGUGAGUGUCCCUGAUUAGAUGGACGAAGUGGGUGUGAGUCAGUCAGCCUUCACCCAUUCCAGAUGACAUGGAAGGAGGUGGGUGCGAGCCAUGGAGAUGGGACCCAUCUCAACAGGAAACUCACCUCAUGUUUUUAGUGCAUCUUGUCGUGAGAGUGCUCUAACUGGGUAAUUACCUUCACACGUUUGGUUGUUCGCGCAGUAGACACUGGCUAGGCUCUGAAGCUCAUCCAGUUGCUGGGUUGGGUUAUGGGUUUGUGGGUGCAGACCCUGCUGUCCCGGAGUAAGCUGUCUGGUGGAGAGAUGCACAAGGUGACACAAUCGGCCAGCGAGAGCGACUGGGUCACAGGGCUAAGGAAACGGUUUAAAGUGGUAACAGGAGAGGAAGCUAAGCCUAUGUGCUGAAGCUCAGGUCUUCACAGAGAAAACGUGGCUGUUUUGGACUCCUGGGCUCUUACUCUACCUGCCUUGGAAGUAUGAAUUUGUAUGCAAGUACGAGACUCUAGAGUUGUGAAUUCAGUUUGUGCUUCCAGAUCUUUGUUGUUCUCUUCUCUGGAGUGGUGGGGCUAUUGUGUCACUUCUCUGAAAUGCUUGCAGCCACAAGUUUUGGGUUUCACUGUCUCCCAUCCUUUUUUCCAGAUUUUGGUAGAUUUGCAUGUCUGUAAUGAGUUAUUUUGGUGCUGGGAUCCAUGACUAAACAUGAAACCCACUUAGGUUUCACAUAUCCUAAAAUUUAAUUUCCUAGACUGUGUUUAGUGCGCUUGCAUUGUGUCUGUGACUUGCAUUGUGACUGUGAAGUGGGGAAUGGGAGUUUUCACUUGUGGAGGGGGGGUGUCACGUUAGCCCUCAGAAAUUUACAAAUUUUGGAGCACUCCAGACUUGGCAGUUUUCUGAUUAGGGCUGUAGAGCCUGGAUUUGUUUCUGGGUUUUUGAAAGGUUGUUGCGUUUAGGAAAACCAAGGCUCUUUUAAACACACAAUGGGCUGGUAAGUAUGAGAAUGCUACUAGCAAUUGUAUUGAAUAUUGUUUCGGAAGGUUAAAAAAAUUGAUUUAAAUACCCUCUUGAGUUUGCACUGUCCUAACAGGUCAGACUGGUGGGAAUUGAGGUAUGAUUUUUACAUUUCUGACCAGGCUUCUCCACUGAGAAUGCAUUUUGUUAAAAUCUGAGACCUAAUGCAGGAAGUCGACCAAGAGCCUCAAGCCCAGCUUGGUGCCCUUCGCCCGUUAGUUGAAGUGGAUUCCUACAAGGAGACAUAGUUAAGCUUUUGUGUCCUUGACUGUCUUGGACCCACCUUUUAUCCGGAGAUGAGUGCAGACAAGUAGAGAGGGGGUUCUGAACGCCUGCAGAUAAAUGGGAGGUCUGUGAGAAGCACCCACUUUGGCCUCAGUAGCAGUUACUACUGGAGAUGUUCGGCAGUCACACUGUGGGUGAGGAAGUCCCCAUCCUUUAGCAUUUGCUGAUUCUCAGGGUGGAAAUGCUCACAUUUUCCCUGGUCACUGAAGAGUUAGAGAACCAUCACAGUGGCUUCUGUGAACCUAGAGAGGCUAGCUCCAGUGUACAAAUGAUUGGAGGCCAAGGUCAGAGUCAGGGUUUAGUUCUAACAAGGCCACUUCUUCUCUAUUUGUGUAUCCUGAAGCCAUCACAGACGUUUAUCGAGUUUAGUGGAAGCACUUAGUCAUUUAUCUCUCCCCAUUCUUCUGCACAAUCAUGGAAAAUAGUUAACACUCUUGAAAUCCUACUUUGACCCAGCUGGGCUAAUAUUUGAACCUGAGCAAGAACAUGUGGGACAAUACAACCUGUCCUUAUUGCAGGAGAGCUUGUUUUGCGGUUGAUAUCUUAACCACCACUGAAUCGGGCAACCUGCUCCCUAAGCCCUGCAGUGGCCCGAUGGAUUCCUGGCAUUCUUGCCCCUGGAGAAGCUGAUCUGUAUUCUCCAAGUAUACGUGAUGAGUUCUUUGCUGCCGUCACCAAAAUAUGACGACAGCCUCUAGUUUACAACAUCAAAGGCCCAUAGGGUAUGAGUGGCAGAUCGUGGGCGGAUCUAUCUCUGGUGACUGACAGAGCAAAGUCCUGAUUGAGUAGGCUUGCCCUCACCUUUUGACACUUUAUGGCAAAUUGGCACCAAAAUACAUUUCACGUUCUCACUUCUUUAUAUGUUUGUCUGGAUCACGCAGAAUGCACGGGGUGGGGGGAUCUUGAGGGACAGACUUUAUUAUCAGGAUUUUUUUUGUUGUUGUUGUUUAAAAAACGUCUUCCUACUGAAGAUGUUCCACCAAAGGAUUCUUUAGCUAUUUAGGGAGAUAGCACUGUUACUGCAGAAAAGAUCAGCUCUAAUUUCAGUGUCCUAAAACCAUGCAGUUAUGCUAUAGUUUGAUGAAUGUUCUUGACAAAGUUUGAUAAGCAUAGGGUAUGCACACAUACAUGUAUACACAUGUAUAUUUCUGUAUCGGGGUUCACUACUAAGUGCUUUCUUAUGGCAUCCAAACAAUUUGAAGAUGUUUUAAAAGCCUGCUGGAAUAUCCUAUUCACUGGAUUUGCCCUCAUCUACCAUCCAUUAUUGACAAUUGUGCCACUAAUGAAAAGGGGGGUGGGGCACUCGAUGUGUUUUUUUUCUAAAUAGGGACUGAGAUGGAAAGGUUGGAAAUAGGAACUGCCAUUUCCUUAAGAGCUGGGCCUAGGAACUCUAGCAAUGUUAUUCUCCUCACAUUGUUAGUUGAGGGCUCAAAAGCCCCAGUUUGAGGGGAGGGGACAAGCAUUCCACCCGUUACUAAGAAGGUCUCAAAGUGUUUCUCAGCCAUUUCACUAUCCUGUGUUGAGAGUCCUAUGCUUAGAUCUGUACCCCGUUUUAAAUGGGGUUAUUAGGACUUUUGAUACCUUGUUUCUUGAAUUCUUUAUAUAUUUUGUAUACUAGUCCUCUAUUGGAUAUGAAGCUGGUGACAUUUUUUGCCAUUCUACAGGUGGCCUCUUCGUCCAAAUGACAGUGCCCUUUGCCUUACAGCAGGUUUUCAGUUACAUGAGGUUCCGCAUAUUAGUUGUUGAUCUUGAUGCCUGUCCCAGUGGUAUGAAAGGCCCAUUGUUAAGUUCUCAGUAAUAGUAAAUAAUAAUGUUAGUGACACACAUCCUUAAGCAACACUAAAUAGGUCACAUCUGAGUUCAGACCUCAGUCACUGUGAGCUAAUAAUCCUCAUGCACAUCCCAGUGGCAGACAGAACAUGAGAACCCACUCUUCCCUCCAUGGUGGGUCCACUGUGUGGGAGGGGGCAGAGUCACCCUGAUCUCCAGUUUUCCCAAGCAGCUCUGGAAAGGGUCCCUGGAGGGUUUACUCCAGUGGUUGAUCUGUUCUUCCUGUUUCGGGUGGGACUUCAGGGUAUGCGGUUGGCCUACCUUGUUCUGACCAUUUCUAUGAUUGUUUGAAGCCAAGUUUGUGUUAGCAUUAUGGCAGAGACCUCACUGAGGGAAGCUCUCUCUCAGGAUGUAUAAGAGAUGGCCUCCAAGGCCUCUCAACCUCCAUUACUGUGAGCCACAAUCUGUUCUGUACAAACUCAGGUCAAGUCUGUCCUUUGCCCUUGAAUGCGGUCAGUCUCAAUUCAUCGUGUUCUUGGACAUAGAUCUUGUGGGUCUGAAGGACUCAUGGUACUUGUGAAUUGUCAGGGCGAAGCCGGGAUCCAUCUAUUUUAUGAGGCCAUGAGUACCCCCAGAGGUUCGGGGUUAGAACAUGCAUGUUUCUUAUCCACCGGUUUGGUUUCAUCUUGUCGGCACUAUGGCAUUUUUUUCUCAUACCUUUUUCCAGGUCAAGCGGUUUAAAAGUUUUCUUGAGUAAAUAAAAGUACAACCAUCUUUUCCUGUCUACAAAUAUUGGUUCCAGUUCCCUCAAAGACACCAAAGUUCUCUCUAGAACAUCCAGUGCCCCUUCUAACAGUAAGGAGGAUUCGGGAACGCACUUCUGAACGUUCUUCUUCAUGACAUCACUGUCAUCCUUCCAUUCCAGUCCUUCAGCCUGUCUCUCAGGGGUCGGCCUUCCAUGGGUUCAUGGUUCUAGCCCAAGGCACCAACUGCAAGAGCCUAGGUAGAGCUCAGACCCCAGGCAGAUUCCUUUGCUUUGGUUCUCAUGUGCUGGGUGGCAGAAAGCCAGUUUGUGUGCAACACAAAUGCGAAUUUUGUGUCUACAAAUCUAAUAUAGGGUGUGUGCAAAUUUAACACACACACACACACACACACACACACACACACACACACACACACACAGAGAACACUAAAUGUUUAGUCAUCUGAUUUUUGGAACUUCAGAGUGAAGGACCAAAGGGCUUCUUUCUGUUCUAAAGACCAUUUAAGGGUCUGGGAUCAAAUACAGUGCCUCAACUUUUUGUUUUUGUGUUUGAAAGAGUAGAGGGCCAACAUCCAGGGCAGAGAGGUUGCUUUGAAAAUUGGUAUCUUCUUCAGCCCCCAAACUGAAAUCUAGAUGUUCUAGUUUGUCUGUGUUUGGGUGGCCCUGUUCCUGCUUAAAUUCUUUCUAUGUAACAGGAACCAGUAAGAGAGAGGAUUCAGAGGAAGAAUUCUUGAGUCUUUAGACACUGUGUAUGUUUUCUUCCCCCAGCAAUUAUUUGUGACACCACUAGAACAUACAAGAGGAAAAAUAAAAAUGACUUCAUGAGGGAAUAUUGUCAUCAGACCCUUUGGUCUGGAGAGAAAUGACCUCAUCAAGGGACUUGUGUGGUAGGAGAAAACUGAGCAAGACCCUAACACACUUUUCCAGUGCACAUUUCACAGCCUCAGACUUGUUCUGCGGUCCUCCCUCUAAUCUUUCCGUGCUCCCCUCCUGUUUUCAGUGACCUCCCUUCCCAGACACGUGCUUCCUCAGAAUCCCAGACUGAGAAAGGCAACUGAGAAAGGCAAGGGGCAAACCCUGGAUGUAGCAAUCCCUGUAGUACAUCUAGGUCACAAAGUGUUCUGAUGCUGAAAUUGGGAAACCAGAGGGCGGGAAUGUCCCAGCUGUCUCUGGGGACACAUAAGGAACAUGAUGGCUAGGAAGACAGCUAUACUGCCCUGCUUCUCAGGAUCAAUUAGCCCUUUCCUUAGGGAUACAGAUGAGACGACCUUAAAAGGAGGCUCUGAGAAUCCCCCAGACCGAGCCUCUCCUACUUUAGCCUUACUUUUGUAGAGCUGGCAUGCUCUGUGUGCAAUCUUCACUCACUGGGUAAACACCAGCCAGGGCUAUUAAAGAUUUGGCACCGUGGCCUGUAGUAGUGUCUCAGAGAGGCAUCACCAGACCGCAGCAGAUUCUUUGCCCAGGGAGGGAGGGCUGCAGCUGUGCUUAAUACGGAAAGAGGUGAUGGAAAGAAGCAAAGCCCAGAAUGUUCCUUCUGCCUGGCAACAGCAAGUCUCAAAGGUUUUCUGCACACUCAUCCUCAGCCUGCUAGUGCUUCAGGGGUGGAGACUGGUGCUCCCAGAGCUGGGCACACUCCCCCACACCAUGAUGUUAAUGAGCCUCACACAGUAAUUUCUACGAUGUCGAUGGUGAGGAUGAUGGUGAGGGUGGGGAUGACGUCCCUUGCUAGCCGUGCAAACAGAACAAAGGCAACAACAUGCAAAUCUUCCUGACUCAGAAUGUGACAUCUCACUCUGAGCUAGUUGAACUUCUAAAUGUUUCAGUUUGAAAACGAACCCAUUUUCCUGUGGUGUAUCUUAAAAAUUAGGUCAUAAAACGUAUAGACUCCACCCUUAGGUAAGGAGAGGGGAUUAAAAAUGUACCUAUGUUCUUAGAAAAGGAAGGUUGUCUCCUGUGCUGAGAAACCUGUGCAAGGAUCAGAUUCUACCAUCUAUGUUCAGUAGCUCUGGGGUAGCCGGACCACUUACUAGUGGCUGGUGCCUUUGCCUCCACAGCUGGGUAAACAGGACAGAUUCUGAACAACCCUGUUCCUUUCAUUCUGAGAUACUGGGGAAACUUGCUUUCAGGAACCUACUCGUUUGUGCUAAGAAAGGCUUCGAGGUGAGUGUUUCAUUAUAAAGUGAGCACACAUUCAGAGAAAUUACAAACCUAGAUUUAAUGCACUUGCUUUCCAGUCUGUCUCACACACAACAAACAUUGGCAUUGACAAGUAGGGGAAAGAACUGAAGAUCCUCCUUGCCCUUUGUCACAAGGGAGGGUAAAGACCUAGGUUAGGGAACUGUUGUGUCCCGAGUGGCCAGGGUUUGGUGGCACGUAGCUUCUUUUCCCCGUGCCAACUCUUAAUAAACUGGAAGAGGUGCGUGGGUCCCUGAUAAGGACCGUGAAGCCUUGUUGGGAAGUUUCUGGAAAGAGUACUGUAACACAUUAACAUAGUCAGCCGUGUGUGGGAAGCAGUGGUACAGGUUUGCCUCGGAGCAAGAUCAAGAGGGAUGACAUUAACCAAUGCCUUCCUCCGCCUCUCUCGACUUUGGAAGACCCUGAAGCCAUUCAUUGAGUGUGAUGGUUCCUUUUACACUAGUUACAGGGGUCUCAGCACUGUAGGCCUUGGCAGUUGCUCUGCAGACAGAGCCGAAGGUUAGGUGCCUCCUUGCUAAAGCUGGAUAAACCUCCAGCACAGGGACUGUUUUAACCUUUGCUGUUGCAGUGUGUUACAUGGCACGCCUGGCAGGGCUGCUUUGCUUGUGAUAUAGUAGGAGUUCGUGUGCAUGUGUUUUCCUUACUAUGCACUGCGGAUAGUUUGCUUAUGUAUUUACUUACUUACUUUUAUUUAUUUAUUUUUUUACUUGUUCACUUUACUGCUCAAGCUACUCACUGCUCCCCUCCCGGUCAUUCCUCCCCACAUCUUUCCUCCCAUCCCCCCUCCCCUUCUCUUCUGAGCCGGUUGGGGGUCCUUCUGGGUAUCCUCCUUCCCUGGCACAUCAAAUCUUCGAGGCUAGGCAUGUCCUCUCCCACUGAGGCCAGACAGGGCAGUCCAGCUAGAAGAACAAAUCCCAUGGACAGACAACAGCUUUUGGGAUAGCCUCCGCUCUAGUUUUCAGGACCCACAUGAAGGCCAACCUGCAUAUCUGCUACAUACGUGUAGGGGGAGGCCUAGGCUCAGCCCAUAUAUAUUCUUGGUUGGUGCUUCAGCCUCUGAGAGCCCCACGGGUCCAGAUUAGUUGACUGUGUUGGUCUUCCUGUGGAGUUCUUAACCUCUUCGUGGCCCUCAACCCUUCCUCCUAUUCUUACAUAAGAGUCCCCACUGUUUGGCUGUGGUGUCUGCAUCUGUCUGAGUCAGCUGCUGGGUGGAGCCUCUCAGAGGACAGCCAUGCUAGACUCCUGUCUGUAAGCAUAACAGAGCAUCAUUAAUAGUGUCAGGGAUUGGUGCUUACCCAUGGAAUGCGUCCCAAGUUGGGUUGGUUAUUACUAGCCCCCAGUCUCAGUCUCUGCUCCAUCCCCUGCCCCUCCAUUUCUUGUAGACAGGAUAAAUUUUGGGUUGAAAGUUUUGUCAGUGGAUUGGUGUCCCUAUUGCUCCACUGUGGUUCCUGCUUGGCUAUAGGAGGUGGCCUCUUCAGGUUCCAUAUCCCCAAUGUAGUGAGUCACAACUGACUUCUGGUAAACAUUCUUUUAUCUGAAGAGAGAAGGCUUGGAGGCUUUAGGGAUGGGUUCUGAUCUAGAUACUGCUUUUCUUGACUAUGUCUGCUUGUCCUCUGGAAAAUGGGGUAUUUUCCUCAACCAACCAGAGCUGUGGGGGCCAAAGUAAUAGAAACAGUGCUGAUGUGGUUUUUAGCCCUUGGUAUAGUCUCCAGAAAUAGGAGGCUGCCCUAGUAGCAGGUCUCUUCCGGGUUCCUGGUUUGGUUGCUGGAUUCAAUCCUGUCUGUCACUGCAUUCUAGCCAUGUUUCUGAAGCUCAUGACAUCCUGAGCUUGUAGACCACUGGGGUUUGUGGGACAAAUCUAUCCUACUGCCUGUUUUUGUAAGCCAAGUUUUGUUGGAUCAGUGUUAUGCUCUUUCAUUUAAAUAUGUCCAGAAAGAUGCAGAUGUUUACUUUCUGGCCCUCUACAGAGUGCCUACCGCUACUGAUAAAUAACUGUUUCCACCAUGAGAGUUGUGUGAAUUCUAGACCGCCGUGUCCAUUGUGUGCUGGGGGUAACUGUGAGACUUAAUUAUAAGCUAUGAAAACUGCCGAAAUAAGAGAUUCCAAAGAGUGUGGUUGUGCGACGUUCUGCUGGGUCUUCCCAAAUAACUAACUUUCCUUUCUUCCUUUGGCAGUAGAAUCCUGGCUUCAGCUGGGACAUGGCCACAGCUGAACUCUUUCCUAGACUGUCUUACAGUCAUAUGGCCAUGUUCUAGCUAUAGGAACGUGAAUGGAAGCUAUGUAUACAAUGUGUAACAGGUACAUGACUUUAGAGAGAAAGGGGAAUGUUUUCUUGGUACUUUCUUCUUUAUGGUAGUGAUGUGAAUGAGUUAACUGAAGAGCUGAGGUCUUGGACCAUUUGGAGGAAGUGUCAUUCAAGAGUAAUGAGUAACAAUACAGAAAGGGUCCAGGAUUCUAACAGCAUGGGCAUGCCUGUAUCAACCGUAGACCUUUAGGCUCAGCUGCCACAUACAGAAAUGGCCUGCUCUUUUGCUUAAGCCUCUAUUACUCUGACAUUUGAUAUAGUAGUCAAACACGUCUUGCCAUGUAUAGUUGGACAUUUCUAUGAGAAUUAGAUUGGAAUUAAGUUGAAGGUAUUUGAGAGAGUUGGCAAGAAUAAGGUGCCAUGAAGUCGGGUGGGGAGGGAGGUAGAGGAUUUGGUAGGAGUGUGUGUAUGGGGUGAAUGUUAUCAAAAUACAUUGAAUGAAAUUCAGAGUUAAUCAUCAUUAAACAAAAUCAUUAAAAAAGUGUAGACAAAAAUAAAUAUUUUAAAAGUCCCAAUAUUAUGUCAUUAAGAUUUUACUCAUUUGUAAAUAAGUAGAGUUAGAAAUGAAAAAAAUAGAAUUAAGAAAUUAUUACAUAAAUACAUAUUUAUGUAAAAAAAGAAGUCUUUGUUCCUAGCUUUAAAUUAGUCCAUGCCUUUCUAAGUCCCUAGGCUUAGUCAAAAGCCCCCCACUUUCUGGAUUGAAUUGGAUACCUUAAGGGUUGUACUGUUUUGACAUUAAUUAUAAAUCAGCCCUCAAGUUAAACCAUGAGUCUAUAAAUCCACACCAUAUUCUGACAAACAUGAUUUAGAAUUGAUGCAUAACCUAGACCAUAUUGCAUAAGAGUUGUUGCAUAAUACUGAAAAAAAAAAAAGCUUACAAGUGACCAUUGUUGAUAAUACCACAGCCCAGGAGAUGAUAGUCUUUAAAACCCUAUAAUAAAAUCUGAGACUGAUUUAAUUAUUCAAGGCGGUCAAGGCCGAACAUUAGGGGUAACCAAUGUUUUGCUGUAUUUUCUCUUUAUAUUCUAACUUCAAUUUCUGGGAUCUACAGCACCAUGUUUACAAUAAAUUCCAUGGUCUUUGCCCUGAUCACACUCAGAGGUUUUUGAUCUGUAUUUUAUUGACUUUGUCAAAUGAGGAAAAAGCGCUGGGGAAGAUAGUAGUGUGCAGUGGCCCCCAUGGACUGAGCCUGCUGGCUCUGUAGAAGGCCGGGCAGCAGGGCAGCAGGGCAGCAGGGUAUUGGGGCAUUAAGGCAGCUGUCCCAGCCAAUAGUUACCCAAGGACCUGAAAAUCAGCUGAGACAUUGGAGUAGUCCAUCAUGAAUGAGAGAUGAAAUGGUUUUAACCUCUCUCCAUGAUAGGACCACAGGCACUGGAAGAACCUUCUGAAACUUUUUACAUUUUAAUAUCCUUAUAACAGCAGAAAGUCAAAUAGUCUUGGCAUUUUUCAGGGUAGUAGGAGGUCUGUUGUCUGGGUACCAUGGGGCCAUAGAUCUUGAUGGGCCUCUGAUACCUGCUGUCCCAGAUGUCCCUGCCCGUCUCAAUCACAGGGAUGUUUUAAGCAGUGUUGUUAGCAUUGCACAUUGUUUUCUUCUCUACCUAACACAAAGUUCUAAGUCUCUUCAUCAUAAGAAAGUACAUACCUGUUUCGUAGAAAUAUAGGACUUGAGGUAUUCAGUUUCAUCUGACUUCAGACUUCAGCAGGUUUGGAAGUAUAUAACCCUGGGCCCACCGAUAUUCCAGAGGGGACCAUGAUUCUGUAAAUCAUUCAAUGUCUAUUUAUGUUCAGCUCCUUCUUUACAAGAAGCCGAUGCUUCAUGUGGACUCUCGAACAGUGCGAGCCGUGUUGUUGAUCUACCUGACCCCCUUCUUUCACAGCCUUGCUUAAAAGGACACUAAAUUCUCUUGCUCUUGAUACAAGUAAGUUGACUAAUGACAAAACUCAGAGAAGUAUUCCAUUCUUCCACUAAUCAUCCACUUGUGUCUUAAAAGUAUCAUAUGGGACAUUGAUGGAAAAACUUGAAUGAAUCCAAAGAUAUAUUUAAUCUUUGGGGUGUCUUAUGGCUGUUACAGGUAGAGGGAUCCCUCCAAAUCUGUUGGAAGUGAGACUUUCACCUGUAUAGUCCAGGACCCCAAGCCUCCGUAAUGUUGCUGCCCACAGUAGACACAUCCUCCCCUAAUGGAAUAAUCCCUCACCAGCGUUCUUCGAGGCCCUUCUCCCAGGGUGGUUCUAGGUCGUGUUCUUCCUGUUGAUAAUUAAAACUAACCAUCACAUCAUCAAAAAAUAACUCAGAGCAUAGACUACCUAACAAAGGAAUGAUAAAGAUCUCUCUCUGCUUCUUUCGUGUACUGCUUAUUUAAAAUAAUUUUUGUUCAUUUAAAAAGAAGCGGUUUUCUUUUGUCCAGCCAGCCCCACUAGUUUUAUUUGGCUGUGUCUGCAUCCCAAAGACUCACUUCCUCUGUAGCCUUCACCUAAGGGACUGGGUUCCAAGAAGUUUAGGAUAAGAAAGUUUAACACACUGUGACACUGAUCUACUUGCUUGUACGGAGUCGAUGCUUGGGAUGGCCCAGCUCAGUUAAAGGGACACUCCACAGUAGUUCUGUUUUUGUGGUUCUGGAGGCUUCCCGCCCAGGAAAAGUAAAUGAUUUGGGAUGAUUAAAAGGCAUUUUCAUGGAAUUAUUUUUUUCUAUUCUCAUUCAUGUAUGCAACAUAUAGCAUAUAAACAGAAAGUAGCUGAGUAUUUGUGUAUCCGUGUGCCUGUGUACCCAACAGAAGGCAUCUAAAGUCAUUUUACUACCAGGCCUGUCCAGUCAACAGUGCCCGCAUGGAGAAGAGGAAUAGGUAGAUCACCCACAUCUGAGGAGCUGUGAUGGUGGGCACAUACAUACACAACAUCCUUUUGCCCUCCAGUAUCUCGAAAGUGAUUUCCAGAAAGUGCUUUUGGCUAGCAGACCAUCUCCAAUAUAGUGCUUGACAUUUUACACAUGCACACAUAAAUUGCAGGUGGCGAUCAUUAAAUUCCCCUGCGCACCACUGGCAGAAACUUGAGCCAGCCGAGAGCUCUGGUGGCAAAGAUAAGUAUCUGUCACCCACAGGUAAGAAUGAAGGAGGACUUAUGAUGAGCAGGACUGUCUGUCACUGGUAUGGCUCAGCCUAGACUGUCCCUAUGCUCUUUCAUUAUAUUGUAUUCCCUUCCAUUUAGGAAUACACGUUCUAAAAGGGAGGCUUCUGCAGCAAAUUAAUCGUGCUUCCUACGAAAGUGAAGCAGUAGAGUGCCUCUUUAAACAGCUGUUUGCAGGCAGCCCUUCACAGAUAUACAUGCCGACUUCUGUAUUACAAACACACCGAAGGACUAACCCUUUCCAUCCGCGGGCAGAUUCCUAUUGCCAUGUGUGAGUAUAAGGAGGUGGAAGAAAUAUGCUCCUAUAGAAACACCGUCUACCUCAGGCAGGAAAAUUUUAUGUUUACGGUUUUGUUUCACUCUGGGACAUCUCAUUACAGAUUGGCUUCUUUCCAGACUGUGGCAACACUUAAGGAGUGUCACCUUUCGUCAUGCACUUUCUUGAUUGUGCCUUCCACACCCCUAAAUUCAUACUGCACCCAUUCUCCCUUCAAGCCGCCCCUGGGUACUGCAUUAGGCUUAUUUACUGUUAACACCUGCACCAUUUACACCGGUUCUUCUUUUUUUUUUUUUCCAAAAUCUGUUUCAGUGUAGCAAAGCAGAGGUCCCCCGUUGAGAAUGAAGUUGUUUUUGUGCCUGAUAGAGUGCGGUCAUUUUGGUUGCAUUCUUUUAAAAGCUGCUGGUUAUUUCCUUCCAUUGCUGGCUUACCUGUAGAGAGAAACAAAUAAUGUACUCUUUAAAGAAGGGCUCAAGGCAUGAAUGUGACCUACAGCCAAAUGGUCCACCACUUUAAUAGUUAAUACCUGUGCUAUGCAGGAGAAUCACCGAGUUUUGUCAUAAGCCAAGUUUUCCUUCUUUAUCACAUACAUCACAGUUAAUUUUCAUUGGACUUUGUAUCAGACACAAUGUGGACUGACUCGGUAAUUCUGUCAGUUCAGGCUUAGAUUAGACCCAGUCUAUUCUCUAACGAGCAAAAUCAGGAAUUAUGUUGCUAACUAAUUUUUUUUUCAAUUCUAAGAAACAUGUUCUUUAAAAAAAAAUUGCCACCAGUAUCAUACAAGUAAACCCAAGGUCAAAAAAGCAGGGAACAGACAUUUACUUUUGAGCCCAACUGCAGUAGAUCCGGGACUGUAAUUUGCUGGCAACUACAGAUCAAAUAGAAUGCGAAGCUAGCAAAGUUGCUCCACAAUGACAGUUUGCUUUCCGUGAAGCCCGUUUCUUCACUCUGAUUUUUAUCUGCCCUCUGAGGAUAUAGUGGAAGUCUUUUCCUGCUUAGGGACAGUGAAGUGAUUGAAUCAAAUCUUGGCGCUGGUAUUCAAGAAGGAAGGGCAUCUUAGUCGUCAACCUGUCCUCAAUUGAGUGCUUGUCUUCUACUUGGGAAGGUCAUUUCCUUGCUUGGGCCCUUGCCUUAUAGAAUUUAGUUAUUAAACACUAACAAAGGCAGGAAUGUUGAAAGCGGCUGGCAUCUUAUCCUCGGACACUUCCAAAGAAUCUCACAGCUAGCAGAAGAAAGCUUCCUUCUAGGAGAUGGAUUAGAUAGUCAGUACCUCCCUGCCCCAAAGUGGCACUGUGUAGUUUGAGAUACAAGGAGAAGGAUAGUCUCAAAGAGUGGCCAAUUACUGCUCCUUUUCAAAUUAGGGAGGGAGGAAGACAGAGAGGUAUGUGUACAUGCAUGAGUGAGGCUGUGUAAGUGUACAUGUUUGUGUGUGUGUGUGUGCGUGUAUGAGGGGUCUGAACAGAACACUAAGUUGCCCUAAAAAGGUGGGGCUCAGCUACAAUGGGUAGGAAAAACAGGCCCUGAGCUGACGCCUCUUCCUCUCUGCCCCUGGGAGAAGCUGCCCCUUGGCUAAUUGGUCUGAGAAAGUGAGAGCUUCCUCUGAGUGCUCUAGAAUUGUUUAAUCUUCUGCUUGCUUGUUUAAUCCUCCAGUUGACACAUCCCAUUUGCUCCGUCACGGCUCUAAUUCUGCGUCGUGGAGAGAGACAUUUCCCUGUUCUUAUUUUGUUCCUCUCCCUACACAUAUUCACUCACAGAGGGCACAGCAAGUCUCCAGAGGAUUUAAAAAAAAAUUCCGACACGUUACACUAAGAAAUGUUCAAGUCUGUAACCAGAUAUUGACUGACCUUUCUAAGAAAAAUUCAACAGGAAUUAGCAUCAACAGAUGGUCACCAGCCGUGAGCAUGAGACCCUGAGUCACUCGCCGAGAAUGAAAGGUCUCUAGGCCAAAACAUAUUUAUAGGUGCGAGGGCUGGACCAGCUGUUUGUCACAGUUGCUAGGUGACAAGUUAUUACAAAUCCCUUUUUAAAAGCUUGUCACAUAGGACGAUGACAUGGCUAACUUUCUGAAAAAUACUGUUUCCCUUCAAUUUAUAUGUAUUUCCUAUAUCCAAUAAAAUCACACUGUGAAAUAGUCUCUUAUAGUGCUCUGCCGGGAAUCUUCUAAAUAUGUUUUAAAAUGAUUAUUGGAUCACAGUUUCACACCGGACUAUGAAAAAUCUACAAAGUUCCCAGAAAAGUGUGUGUGUGUGUGAAGCACUGUAUCAAGUGAGAUAUAUGUCUAUCCCUUUCUGCUUGUCUCAGAGAGGUCAGAACAGUGUCCACAAAUUUCUAAAGUGAUUUAAAAUCUAAUGGGGAGUGAGCGUUACAAGGAUCAUGAAAACAAUCUAAAAGGCAUGGCUGUCAGUAACAGGUCUCCUGAUCUGGGAUAGAAUGGAGACUAGCACACCAGUCCUGACUCGCAGGGUGUCGAGAUGACUGGCUGAGAGAAAGGGAUCACGUGGUGAUUAUCUGAGACUGUGCUCACCGACGGAGCUAACCGCAGACAUGGCCUUCAUUAUACAGAGGAUAUAAUUUAGUCUGAGCGGCUGGCCUCAGACUGUAGGAUUGCUUGUGGGGACUGCUAAUGUGCUUGAAAGAGAGAAGAGGAACCUUGAUUCCUUAGGCCCAAUUUUGACAGGAGUCAGGGCGGCUCUUUACAUGUCUCUGUCUUGACUAAUGGUAGUUAGGGAUGGCUGUCCUUCGCCAUUCAUCUCCGAAGUGAUCUGUAUGCUCCAGUGUGAACGGUGUACUUCCUGUGCCCCUGUGCUGGUCACUCCUGUUCCAUGCUCUGACCUUGAGCCACAUAGACAUAGAUGAAGACUCUAGACCUCAACCUCUUUGGCAGUAACCUGGGAUAUAAUAAAUCAGACAUGACGACUAACUAAGGCUAUUGAGUUUGUAAGGAGGAAGAAUGCCUGUCCCCUGGAAGGUGUUGUCUGUGGUAGAUUCAUGCUGCAUUACACCCUGGAUUGGAAAUGGGUUACUGGGUUUAUUUGAAUUGUUAUUCAACCUUUCUGGCUCUUUUCAACCAAAAAAUAAAGUUACCUAAAUACAACAUCUUGCUAAUCUGUGUAAUCUUAUUCUGUAAUUAAUUUUAAUAGUUGUCUACCUCAUCAUUUAAAAUGUACACUUUUCCAUUAUUUUAGCUUAAAAAGUGUUAGUAUUUUAUUUUGUUACAAAUGGCAGAAAUAAAACAAACAAACCAAAAAAAAAAAAAAAACCCAGCUUUAUGCAAAAGGAAAUUGACUUUAGUCUGUGGAUGACUUUGCUUUCUACACUGCUUCUUGUUUGGUCUUAGCAGUACCAAGAAUUCAAACUGGAACUUCAAGAUUCAUUUAUAUUCUAGCCCCUCCCCCAACACACACACACACACACACACACACACACACACACACACACACACACACACACACUUUGCUUUUCCUCUCUCUUUUCCCCAUCCUUUCUCUUUGGUAAUUAUCUCCUUUAACCUAAAGUUAAAAAUAUGUGAAAGAAUUUGAGUUUUGAUAUAUUAAAAAUAUGUUUUGUUUUGAAAAAUUGUCUUCAGUUUUAAAUACACUUUUCACUUUGGGAAAGUUUAUCUUGUAAGGUCUACAACAAUGAAAACAUUUGUAUUUAACAAGUUUGUCUCUCUUAACUAACCCUCUACUUAGUUUUCAAAUUAAUUUUUCUCUAGUAGCUUAAGAUUAAAAGCUACUUCUAAGAGGUAACUUUCACGGAUGAAGUCUUUUUCUCUUUCUCUUUCCCUCUCCCACUCUGUCUGCCUGCCCCCCCUCUUUCUCUGUACUUGUGUAUAUGUGCGUGUGUGUGUGAGAGUGUGUGAGUGUGCACGAGUGUGCCAUUUCGCCAUGUGUGUUUAGGUGUGUGUUCUCAUCGUCCGUGUAACGAUUGAGGUUGAGGGCCAUGCCUCCUCAUUUGAAGUCUCUGGAGUCAGGAAUAGUACCAGUAAGCAUACUUGGUGUGUACUCAUUGGAAUACGAGAAGUCAAGUGCCCACAAGAGACCUUACUUUUUGAAAAUGACACCAAGACUCACUUGUUUCAGUAUGAGUGUUGUUUGUGGUCAGACCCUAGCUAGCACAUCUCCCCUCUUUCAGAAAGAGCGUUGACCAUCAUGUUUCCUAAUCUUAGAGAACCCCCUAUUGGCGAAUACUGUGUCCUACACCGUGAACCACGGAGCACAUGAGCAUUCCAUCAGGUUAAGUGCUAGACUACAGCCAGUUCUUCAUUGGGCCUGAUGGCACACGCUAUAAUUCCAGCACUCUGCAAGAAGAAGUCUGAGAAUCAAGAGUAGUAUGCUAGACUUAGCUAUACAGCAAGUUCAAGGCCAUCCUGGGCUACCUGACAUCUUGAUUCAGAAACCCAAAAACCCAAACAAACAAACAAACAAAAAAACCCUCAAACCUUGCUUUUGAUAACUUUAUUUUUUUAAGGUUAUCUGUUUUGUGUGAGUCUGUGUACAUGGUUGUAGUUAUCCAAAGAGGCUAGUGGCAGUGGCUCCCCCUGGCUCUGGAGUUUCUGGCAGUUAUGAGCUGCUUGAGGUAGGCAUUCUUGAAGCUAAGCUCUGGUCCUAGGUAAAUGCAGUGCGUGCUCUGAACUGGCAAGCCAUCACUCCAGCUCUGAUAACCAUAAUUUUAAAGAAAAAGAAGUACAAACCAAGGCAAAAGACGUGCCCAAAACUCUUUGGUUUUUUAAAAAGCUAUUCAGACCCAUUUGACUUUUUGAGACCUAUGGAACGACUGAAUCAGGGUUGCCCUUCGGGAGCCUGGUUGUAAAGAUUGUCCCCAGGACCAUGUUAAAGCUUAGUGUAGAGAUGACUUUCCUUGGUUGCUGUAUCAAUGACUGGAUUUUUAAGGUUUUUCUAAUUGAGUUGGUGGGACAAGAGUCUUCUGGGCACAGACACUGCUCUUUUCUGCUGUCUGAGCUCCUCAUACAGGCACACCUAGCAAUCCCCUGCUGAAAAUGUCAGAGAAUUCCCCGGCAGACCUACUAAGUGCACUCUCUAUUCAUCUACCCUUUGGCCUGCAAACUCCUCACUCUUGGAUCAAUUCAGGGAGGUGACAGAUCCCACCCGGGUGGCUCCUUCCUGCUCCAGGUUCUGGAAAAUGUUAAGGCGGUGAGCUAGGCAAUCAUAUUAAUCUUUUCCUGAUGCCCAGGGAAGGAAGUAAAUUUAGCUCCUGACAUACCAUCUUGCCCUAGCAAAUGUCCCUGUCUCUAUUUUUUCUUUAAAUAGUACUUCCAUAUAAUUUGCUCACAGUGACUCUUAGGGUAAGAAACACGUGGUUCAGAGUGCCUGGGGUACUUGUUCUUGCAAGUUUCCGAGCGUCAUCCAAACUGCUCUGCCGGGAUCUUCUCACGUGAGGUCCAGGCCCAUUUCAGUACAGUCUGGGAGCCACCAGACUCACCACCAGUGAAAAACUCUCUUGGGGUUGGGGAUUUAGCUCAGUGGUAGAGCGCUUGCCUAGCAAGUGCAAGGCCCUGGGUUCGAUCCCCAGCUCCAAAAAAAAAAAAAAAAAAAAAAAAAGAA
Non-coding RNA from Rattus norvegicus (Norway rat), 21617 nucleotides. The record is from RefSeq and is a predicted model, not a curated record. Lineage: Eukaryota; Metazoa; Chordata; Mammalia; Rodentia; Muridae.